ACUGUGUGAUUUUUGUUCUUUAGUAGAAGGAUAACAUGACAUAGCAGGAAUAAUACUGCCUUUUCUUUCUGGCAUGGAUCAAGAGAAAAGAAAAUACAAGAAAACAGACAGAAGAUCCUAUCUGCGACAAUUAAGAGCACUCUAAGAGGAAAACACAUCCCACCACAGCAAGGUACUUCUAUGGAAGGGUGAGCCCUCACAGAUGGAGCAAUGGGGCGCGCACACCUGAACAAGGGAGGGGAAGGAGUUCUUAUCCCUGAUGCAUGUGACCCCUGCUGCUGUGUCCUUCCCCUAUUGGCUAAGGCUUCUGACAGCUUUGGAGAUUGUGACAUUGGAAUAAAGGAAAAACGUACAGGACUCAUGAAGCGCUGAAAUGUUCACAAAUAUCAAGCAAAAGUCAAUGAAAUUUAUUUUGAGCUAUUUACAUCAUUUAAUAAUUGAGCAAGGUAUACUCCUAUGAACAAAAUUUGGAGCAUGUUUGUCUCUCUCUGCCUGGCGUCUUCAGAAUUUGGAAACUAGUUAGUCAUGGAAAUUUAUUUUGAGCUAUUUACAGCAUUUAAUAAUUGAGCAAGGUAUACUCCUAUGAACAAAAUUUGGAGCAUGUUUGUCUCUCUCUGUCUGCCUGGCAUCUACAGAAUUUGGAAACUAGUUUCGUUCCCAGAUUUCCUAAACUUUCCAGAGAAAAUGGUCUUCUCCCUGGCUCAGCAAGAAGAUGAACUUUAAACACUGAGAAACUGGUCAUCUCCCUGGCUCAACCAGAAGAUGAACUUUAAACACUACUCUCAAUGACUUGAUGUUCCCAUCACUACUCCUGUCAUAAAGGGAGGGGACUCAGAUAUUGAGAAUUUUAUGAUAGUGUGAACUGUCUGGUAUGUCAUUUAAGUAAGCCCGUUGCUGAAAUAUUUUCCAUGUUAUUAGAAAGAGCUGAAGAGAGGGAUUGAGAUGGCUUCUUUAUUUUUUGUCUUUUGGGAAUUAAAGGAACCUGGUUCAACAAGGGCCUACACCUAAGUCUCUUGUUGUACCAGAGUACAAUUUAGGACUGCUCCUGAGGAAGGAAUUAGCUAGAAAUCUAGAGAGUAAGGGUAACAGAUUUACAUAGAAUAACAGCCUCAGUAUUUUUGGUUCCUCUCCAGUAAAGAUCACAAAGAAUAUUGCUAAAUCGCUAAAACACCUUUGCAAUAACGUAAGGGCUUACAACUAUAUACCAAUGUAGCUCAGUUACUAAACUGGAGUAAACUAAUUUCUCUUGUGUAGAAAAAUUGGUUGGCUGUGGUUUUAUAGCAGAUCUGCAAUUAUUAAUAGUUAUGCCAAUAAUCGUUUAACAGUGCAUAUGUUAAUAUAUAUGGAAAGACAAUGUGUAUAGACAGAUGUGUAAAAUUGAAAAAUAAACAUAUAACAAGAGAGAAACAUCUAUCGAACAGACAAUAUACAUACACAUCAAACACAACAGCAGUUUUAGUGACCAUAAUAUUUAUUUCUCAUUUUUACAUUGCUUACUUUAGUGACAACUGAAAAUGACAGUUGGCAAUGCAGCUAACAGUUUCAAUAAAAGUAUAAAACAAAAGACUGUGUACAAAGCACCUGUCUUUCCGCUUUUGUAAUCUUCCGUUGGAAAAAAUUUACACACCUAAGUAACCAUCUGUUUUCUUCAAGAAAAAAUCAUUCUUAUUUCUCUCUCUCAUCUUGAAAACAGCUGUCAGCCAGGAGGGCAGAGCUGAAAUUUAUUGCCACAUCACAUGAAGCAUAGAACAGACUCCACUACUCCUUGAGAUUCAAAACUUUGCCUCUCACAAAGUUACCUUUUAUUUUCCUCUUGUUUGUCACUCAUCUCCCCUAGUGUGCUCUUUUUAUUUCUUUUACUAUUAAUAAUAAAAUCUGUGGAUGACUGUAUUAUU
Molecule: long non-coding RNA, 1895 nt
Filed under: Homo sapiens (human)
Lineage: Eukaryota; Metazoa; Chordata; Mammalia; Primates; Hominidae
Description: non-protein coding LINC00320:14
Source: RNAcentral